UACGGAGGAUGCGAGCGUUAUCCGGAUUUAUUGGGUUUAAAGGGUGCGUAGGCGGUCCGUUAAGUCAGCGGUAAAAUUGCGGGGCUCAACCCCGUCGAGCCGUUGAAACUGUCAGACUUGAGUUGGCGAGAAGUACGCGGAAUGCGCGGUGUAGCGGUGAAAUGCAUAGAUAUCGCGCAGAACUCCGAUUGCGAAGGCGGCCUGCUGGACUGCAACUGACGUUGAGGCCCGAAAGCGUGGGGAGCAAACAGG
Molecule: ribosomal RNA, 252 nt
Filed under: uncultured bacterium
Lineage: Bacteria
Description: partial 16S ribosomal RNA
Rfam family: Bacterial small subunit ribosomal RNA
Source: RNAcentral